This 465-nucleotide ribosomal RNA is filed under the name Vreelandella stevensii. RNAcentral describes it as "partial 16S ribosomal RNA". It matches the Rfam family "Bacterial small subunit ribosomal RNA", at positions 338 to 795 of the family's 1533-position model. The record is from RNAcentral. Lineage: Bacteria; Pseudomonadati; Pseudomonadota; Gammaproteobacteria; Oceanospirillales; Halomonadaceae.
CCUACGGGAGGCAGCAGUGGGGAAUAUUGGACAAUGGGGGCAACCCUGAUCCAGCCAUGCCGCGUGUGUGAAGAAGGCCCUCGGGUUGUAAAGCACUUUCAGUGAGGAAGAACGCCUGGUGGUUAAUACCCAUCAGGAAAGACAUCACUCACAGAAGAAGCACCGGCUAACUCCGUGCCAGCAGCCGCGGUAAUACGGAGGGUGCGAGCGUUAAUCGGAAUUAUUGGGCGUAAAGCGCGCGUAGGUGGCUUGAUAAGCCGGUCGUGAAAGCCCCGGGCUCAACCUGGGAACGGCAUCCGGAACUGUCAAGCUAGAGUGCAGGAGAGGAAGGUAGAAUUCCCGGUGUAGCGGUGAAAUGCGUAGAGAUCGGGAGGAAUACCAGUGGCGAAGGCGGCCUUCUGGACUGACACUGACACUGAGGUGCGAAAGCGUGGGUAGCAAACAGGAUUAGAUACCCUUGUAGUC